Molecule: transfer RNA, 85 nt
Filed under: Felis catus (domestic cat)
Lineage: Eukaryota; Metazoa; Chordata; Mammalia; Carnivora; Felidae
Rfam family: tRNA
About the family: Transfer RNA (tRNA) molecules are approximately 80 nucleotides in length. Their secondary structure includes four short double-helical elements and three loops (D, anti-codon, and T loops).
Source: Rfam by way of RNAcentral
GCCUGGGUGGCUCAGUCGGUUGAGCGUCUGACUUCAGUUCAGAUCAUGAUCUCACAGCUUAUGAGUUCAAGCCCUACUUCGGGCU